Long non-coding RNA from Setaria italica (foxtail millet), 383 nucleotides. RefSeq lists it as uncharacterized. The transcript is spliced from 2 exons. NCBI's taxonomy places the organism in Eukaryota, Viridiplantae, Streptophyta, Magnoliopsida, Poales, Poaceae. The record is from RefSeq and is a predicted model, not a curated record.
UAAAUUAUCGCAAGCACAACCUCUAUACCUCACCCUAGGGUUGCCAGCACGCGCCGCCGCCGCCGCCGCCGCCUCGUCGCAGCUACCGCUUUGCGUCAGAUCCGCAAUAUGCCUCUUCUUCGGUUCAAGCGUAUCGUGGCGUAUCUACUGCUGAAGAUAUCAUAAGAUUAUGGAAAGCUGGGAACCGGAGAGCAGAAGGGCUGGACAAUGGAAAAGAUGGAUCAAGUUGGAUCGCUAGUAUGUAUUGUUGGGUGGUUUUAUCCUGUUCAGGGAUCCAGUAUGUAUGUUUCACGAGUUUAUAUUGAUGUAAUUUGUUGAAAUGUAUUAGCAACUUGAAACAAGCAUUUGUCAAAUUGUCUCUUAUUUUUACUUCUGGCAGUUUU